UACGUAGGGCGCAAGCGUUGUCCGGAAUUAUUGGGCGUAAAGAGCUCGUAGGCGGCUUGUCACGUCGGGUGUGAAAGCCCGGGGCUUAACCCCGGGUCUGCAUUCGAUACGGGCUAGCUAGAGUGUGGUAGGGGAGAUCGGAAUUCCUGGUGUAGCGGUGAAAUGCGUAGAUAUCAGGAGGAACACCGGUGGCGAAGGCGGGUCUCUGGGCAGUAACUGACGCUGAGGAGCGAAAGCGUGGGGAGCGAACAGG
This 253-nucleotide ribosomal RNA is filed under the name uncultured bacterium. Its description in RNAcentral is "partial 16S ribosomal RNA". It matches the Rfam family "Bacterial small subunit ribosomal RNA", at positions 524 to 776 of the family's 1533-position model. The record is from RNAcentral.